This 358-nucleotide ribosomal RNA is filed under the name uncultured eukaryote. RNAcentral describes it as "LSU rRNA". It matches the Rfam family "Bacterial large subunit ribosomal RNA", at positions 2122 to 2479 of the family's 2925-position model. The record is from RNAcentral.
UCCGGGCUUUGUUUGCGCAGGAUAGGUGGGAGGCGUUGAAAAUUUUCUUGCGGGAAGAUUGGAGCCGUCGGUGAGAUACCACUCUAACAAUGCUAGGAUUCUAACCCUACACCGUUAUCCGGUUAGGGGACAGUUUCAGGUGGUCAGUUUGACUGGGGCGGUCGCCUCCCAAAAGGUAACGGAGGCGUGCAAAGGUUUCCUCAGGCUGGUCGGAAAUCAGUCGUAGAGUGUAAAGGCAUAAGGAAGCUUGAUUGUGAGACCUACAAGUCGAACAAAGACGAAAGUCGGCCUUAGUGAUCCGACGGUCCCGAGUGGAAGGGCCGUCGCUCAACGGAUAAAAGCUACUCUAGGGAUAACA